RNAcentral lists this ribosomal RNA (448 nucleotides) under uncultured bacterium. RNAcentral describes it as "partial 16S ribosomal RNA". It matches the Rfam family "Bacterial small subunit ribosomal RNA", at positions 338 to 795 of the family's 1533-position model. The record is from RNAcentral.
CCUACGGGAGGCAGCAGUGGGGAAUAUUGCACAAUGGGGGGAACCCUGAUGCAGCGACGCCGCGUGAGUGAAGAAGUAUUUCGGUAUGUAAAGCUCUAUCAGCAGGGAAGAAGAUGACGGUACCUGACUAAGAAGCCCCGGCUAACUACGUGCCAGCAGCCGCGGUAAUACGUAGGGGGCAAGCGUUAUCCGGAUUUACUGGGUGUAAAGGGAGCGUAGACGGCAGGGCAAGUCUGGAGUGAAAGCCCGGGGCCCAACCCCGGGACUGCUUUGGAAACUGCCAUGCUAGAGUGCUGGAGUACAGGAGGGGCAGGCGGAAUUCCUGGUGUAGCGGUGAAAUGCGUAGAUAUCAGGAGGAACACCGGCGGCGAAGGCGGCCUGCUGGACUGAAACUGACGUUGAGGCUCGAAAGCGUGGGGAGCAAACAGGAUUAGAUACCCUUGUAGUC